UAUGACUUCUGCUCCAGUCUUUAACACGAGAAGUAAGGGUUCCAAUUCUGGUAAUGGAAGAACAGCUUUGCGCUGAACUAACCCUCCUGCUGAUGGCAAUUUUAACUGCUACACAAAAUAUAAAAACAAACCGUAGUUUGAAUUACUGAAGAGCAACCAAAAGCAAUAUUGGUAGAGAGAGACACAGUCCUGGAAGGAAGUGAAGCACACCAGAUGCAGAAAGGAACCCGGGAUUUAUCAGCUUCACACAUCAUAAGCCUUGAGCUGACUCACCCUCUGGGCAGGGACUCUCAGUGAGUGAGGCUCCCCUUCCUAGUGCAUGGCUCUCCCGGACCCUGCUUCCCGCCCAGGUCACGAGGUCACGUCAGGGCAGCAGAUUCUCGGAGGAACUAAUUCUCAUGACAGUGCACGGUCACCGCCUUCCUGCCUCGAAAUGCUGGGGAGGCUUCACUGUGUGUCUAAAUCAUGCUUUGGCCGCCCAGACAGGACGACUGCCUCAUGGUGACAGGCACACUGAGGGACUUCGGAGUUUAAAGCUAGAAGUCUUCGGAAGAAAACAAUCUGUGCCUUGAGGCCACGCAGGCAGCCUGUGGAAAGCUCAUGUGGUGAAGAAUGGAUGUGCCAACAACCAUGUGAGUAAGCUUGGAACAUGCUUCAGCUCCAGUCAAGGCUUCAGAUGCCUGGUGCCCCGGUUGACAACUUGUCUGCAUCAUGAGAGACCGUGAGCUAGAAGCACCCAGCUAAACCGCUCCCAAAUUCCUGGCCACACAAACUAUUGUUACCAUAUUUUAGUUACUAUACUUUAGGGCCAGUUUAUUAGCUACCUUCUGUGCCUUUUUUGAAUUGAUGCCUAACGGAUAUCUUUUUCCCCCUGAAAAACUAUAGUUUUGUUAGAAUUAGAAAGCUGGUACUGUGAGUUGUCGGCUACUGUUUCAUUCAAGCAGAGGGGCACAUUCAAUAAAGAG
Molecule: long non-coding RNA, 965 nt
Organism: Canis lupus familiaris (dog)
Lineage: Eukaryota; Metazoa; Chordata; Mammalia; Carnivora; Canidae
Exons: 3
Source: RefSeq, a predicted model, not a curated record